Molecule: ribosomal RNA, 253 nt
Filed under: uncultured bacterium
Lineage: Bacteria
Description: partial 16S ribosomal RNA
Rfam family: Bacterial small subunit ribosomal RNA
Source: RNAcentral
UACGAAGGGGGCUAGCGUUGCUCGGAAUCACUGGGCGGAAAGGGUGCGUAGGCGGGUCUUUAAGUCAGGGGUGAAAUCCUGGAGCUCAACUCCAGAACUGCCUUUGAUACUGAAGAUCUUGAGUUCGGGAGAGGUGAGUGGAACUGCGAGUGUAGAGGUGAAAUUCGUAGAUAUUCGCAAGAACACCAGUGGCGAAGGCGGCUCGCUGGAACGGUACUGACGCUGAGGCGCGAAAGCGUGGGGAGCGAACAGG